CCCUUAGAUGUUCUGGGCCGCACGCGCGCUACACUGACUGGUGCAACAAGUGUCGCUCCUUGGCCGAUGGGCCUGGGCAAUCUUUGAACGCCAGUCGUGAUGGGGAUAGAUUCUUGCAAUUUUUGAUCUUCAACGAGGAAUUCCUAGUAAACGCGAGUCAUCAACUCGCAUUGAUUACGUCCCUGCCCUUUGUACACACCGCCCGUCGCACCUACCGAUUGAAUGGUCCGGUGAACCCUCCGGAUCGGCCCGCGCCAACGCAAGUUGAGCAAAGGCCGAGAAGUUGGGUAAACCUUACCAUUUAGAGGAAGGUGAAGUCGUAACA
This 325-nucleotide ribosomal RNA is filed under the name uncultured eukaryote. Its description in RNAcentral is "partial 18S ribosomal RNA". It matches the Rfam family "Eukaryotic small subunit ribosomal RNA", at positions 1470 to 1796 of the family's 1831-position model. The record is from RNAcentral.